Long non-coding RNA from Fukomys damarensis (Damara mole-rat), 1180 nucleotides. RefSeq lists it as uncharacterized. NCBI's taxonomy places the organism in Eukaryota, Metazoa, Chordata, Mammalia, Rodentia, Bathyergidae. The transcript has 3 exons. The record is from RefSeq and is a predicted model, not a curated record.
UCUCCUCAACUUUUAUCCACACUAGUUCUGAAAUAAUACAAGCUUCACAAGCUUUCAUGACUCAAAUCUUCCAAAUGCUGAGAAUUCUAAUUGAUUCGUAGAGAUAUUUAAGAGUACAGUCUAGAUCUUUCCCAUUUAAGGAAUAUAUAUUUUAUGAGGACCUACUCUGCCCCAGGCAUUUUACGUAUCACAUCCCUUCCAUUUUUCACAACAACUCUGAGAAAUAGUUGCCAUUAACCCCAUUUACAGAUGAGAAAACCGAGACACAGAGAAAUACAAUAAAUGGUCUCAGAACGAGGCAGUGUCAGGCUUGGGGUCUGAACUCCCAAAUGGUUGGCUUCCACGUUCGUGCACACAUUGCAGUGUCUCUCAGUUUUGUACUGUUGACAUUUGCGCAGGAGAACUCUUUGUUGAGGGGGCUGCUCUGGGCUUGUGUUGCAGGACGUUUAGCAGCAUCACUGGCUUCUCCCCUGUAGAUGCUCCCGCUGCAGGCGUGACGACCGGAAACCUAUCCGGUCACUGUAAGUGUCCCCCGGUAAAACCAUCUCUAGGUGAGAGCUGUGAGUUGAUCCUGCGGCUGGCCUUCUAUUUGCUGUGGAGUGGCUUUAUCUGAGAACCAGAGGCGGGGUCCUGGCAAGCUUACUCUCCUGCAGAGCGAUGAGUCCACUGAGCCAAGGAGACACCCCUGCCUGUCGCUCCUCCACAGCUCUGCACCACAAUCUACCUUCCAGGACCUGUGCCAGACAUGCGCCGGAGUGUGCACUUCUGCCCCUGCAAGAUGUGACAACCAGAAACAUAUACAGUCAUGGGCAAGGACUGCUGACCUUCAAUGAGGAUUGCAUGGGAAGCCCUGGACUUACAUUGAGGUGUGAGCCAGGCAGGAAAACGAAACCAGUCUAAGGUUUCUCCAAGUCUUAUACACAUCCCUUACUCCACCUUCAGCCUGCUUGGAACUCAAUAGUUUGAGCAAUUCACACUGAAGUGACCCUGACACCUCCUUUGGCCAGUCACAAGCCUGGGUCUGGCUGCCAAAAAUAAUCAGUGCUUCCACAUGGCUUGAGCAGAGCUAUGUGCUGCCAGGCCUGGCCAAGAAGCCCUGGGGCUUGGAGUGGGCAGAGGUGGUGGUGGGGAGGACAAAGAAGCCUGGAAAGUCAGUUUGGCUUGCAAUGGUUAACACUCA